UAAUUCCGUUAACGAACGAGACCACAGCCUACUAAAUAGUGUGCGGUAUGGCAACAUAGCGUGGCGACUUCUUAGAGGGACAUUUCGAGUUUAUCGGAAGGAAGUUUGUGGCAAUAACAGGUCUGUGAUGCCCUUAGAUGUUCUGGGCCGCACGCGCGCUACACUGACUGAUUCAACGAGUUUUUGUUUCGUCUCUCUUUUGGGGCGGGCAGAGUCCUUGGCCGGAAGGUCUGGGUAAUCUUGUAAAUGUCAGUCGUGAUGGGGCUAGAUUUUUGCAAUUAUUAAUCUCCAACGAGGAACC
RNAcentral lists this ribosomal RNA (301 nucleotides) under Thraustochytrium sp. Its description in RNAcentral is "SSU rRNA". It matches the Rfam family "Eukaryotic small subunit ribosomal RNA", at positions 1320 to 1610 of the family's 1831-position model. Lineage: Eukaryota; Bigyra; Thraustochytrida; Thraustochytriidae. The record is from RNAcentral.